Molecule: ribosomal RNA, 497 nt
Filed under: uncultured bacterium
Lineage: Bacteria
Description: bacterial SSU rRNA
Rfam family: Bacterial small subunit ribosomal RNA
Source: RNAcentral
UGAACGCUGGCGGAGGCCUAACAAUGCAAGUCGAACGGUAACAUUUCUAGCUUGCUAGAAGAUGACGAGUGGCGGACGGGUGAGUAAUGCUUGGGAACUUGCCUUUGCGAGGGGGAUAACAGUUGGAAACGACUGCUAAUACCGCAUAAUGUCUACGGACCAAACGGGGCUUCGGCUCCGGCGCAAAGAGAGGCCCAAGUGAGAUUAGCUAGUUGGUAAGGUAACGGCUUACCAAGGCGACGAUCUCUAGCUGUUCUGAGAGGAAGAUCAGCCACACUGGGACUGAGACACGGCCCAGACUCCUACGGGAGGCAGCAGUGGGGAAUAUUGCACAAUGGGGGAAACCCUGAUGCAGCCAUGCCGCGUGUGUGAAGAAAGCCUUCGGGUUGUAAAGCACUUUCAGUUGUGAGGAAAAGUUAGUAGUUAAUACCUGCUAGCCGUGACGUUAACAACAGAAGAAGCACCGGCUAACUCCGUGCCAGCAGCCGCGGUAAUAC